This 278-nucleotide ribosomal RNA is filed under the name uncultured prokaryote. Its description in RNAcentral is "partial 16S ribosomal RNA". It matches the Rfam family "Bacterial small subunit ribosomal RNA", at positions 524 to 801 of the family's 1533-position model. The record is from RNAcentral.
CACGGGGGUUGCGAGCGUUGUCCGGAAUUACUAGGCGUAAAGGGCAGGCAGGCGGAUCCAUAAGUUUAUCGUUUAAGGCGUCGGCUUAACCGGCGUAGGGCGGUAGGUACUGUGGAUCUGGAAUGCGGUUGGGGAAGACAGAAUUCCUGGUGUAGCGGUGGAAUGCGCAGAGAUCAGGAGGAAUACCGAAGGCGAAGGCAGUCUUCCAAGCCGUUAUUGACGCUCAACUGCGAAGGUGUGGGUAUCAAACAGGAUUAGAUAUCCGGGUAGUCCCUGAG